UACGUAGGGUGCAAGCGUUGUCCGGAAUUAUUGGGCGUAAAGAGCUCGUAGGCGGUCUGUCGCGUCUGCUGUGAAAACUCGGGGCUUAACCCCGGGCCUGCAGUGGGUACGGGCAGACUAGAGUGCGGUAGGGGAGACUGGAAUUCCCGGUGUAGCGGUGAAAUGCGCAGAUAUCGGGAAGAACACCUAUGGCGAAGGCAGCUCUCUGGGACGGUACUGACGCUGAGACGCGAAAGCGUGGGGAGCGAACAGG
This 253-nucleotide ribosomal RNA is filed under the name uncultured bacterium. RNAcentral's name for it is "partial 16S ribosomal RNA". It matches the Rfam family "Bacterial small subunit ribosomal RNA", at positions 524 to 776 of the family's 1533-position model. The record is from RNAcentral.